UACGAGGGGGGCAAGCGUUGUCCGGAUUUAUUGGGCGUAAAGAGCGUGUAGGCGGCCAUGUAGGUCCGGUGUGAAAACUCGAGGCUUAACCUCGAGAUGUCAUCGGAAACCAUUUGGCUAGAGUCCGGAAGAGGAGAGUGGAAUUCCUGGUGUAGCGGUGAAAUGCGCAGAUAUCAGGAAGAACACCAAUGGCGAAAGCAGCUCUCUGGGACGGUACUGACGCUGAGACGCGAAAGCGUGGGGAGCGAACAGG
This 253-nucleotide ribosomal RNA is filed under the name uncultured bacterium. Its description in RNAcentral is "partial 16S ribosomal RNA". It matches the Rfam family "Bacterial small subunit ribosomal RNA", at positions 524 to 776 of the family's 1533-position model. The record is from RNAcentral.